UCUCCGUAGGUGAACCUGCGGAGGGAUCAUUACUGAGUGAGGGUCUCCGGGCCCGACCUCCAACCCUUUGUGAACCAAACUUGUUGCUUCGGGGGCGACCCUGCCGCUUCGGCGGUGCGGCGCCCCCGGAGGUCUUCCAAACACUGCAUCUUUGCGUCGGAGUUAAAACAAAUUAAACAAAACUUUCAACAACGGAUCUCUUGGUUCUGGCAUCGAUGAAGAACGCAGC
This 229-nucleotide unclassified non-coding RNA is filed under the name uncultured fungus. RNAcentral describes it as "sequence contains ITS1, 5.8S rRNA gene". The stretch from base 181 to 229 matches the Rfam family "5.8S ribosomal RNA", at positions 1 to 49 of the family's 154-position model. The record is from RNAcentral. Lineage: Eukaryota; Fungi.